AUUUUAUGGUCUGUCAACUGCCAUGCCUGGAGCUAUUCCUUGACAUCAAUAUUAUGCAGAGAUGUUAAGAGAUGAGUUUUGGAUGAAAGAAGCUGUCAUGGUGAUCUGAGCCGGCUGGAGAAGAAAAGGAAAGAAGAUACUGCCGAUCAGAAAAGAAUUGUCUAAAUGGAAUAUCGGAGGAAACCCACACAAACGUGAUGAACAUGCAAGUGUUGUCCCUUGCCGGAUGUAAACCCAAGACACCAGAACUGCAAAGCAACAGUGCUAACCACUGAACUGCUA
This is a long non-coding RNA of Hyla sarda, 282 nucleotides long. RefSeq lists it as uncharacterized. The transcript has 3 exons. The record is from RefSeq and is a predicted model, not a curated record. NCBI's taxonomy places the organism in Eukaryota, Metazoa, Chordata, Amphibia, Anura, Hylidae.